CGCGGUCAAAUCACGUUGAAAACACCGGUUCUCGUUCGAUCACCGAAGUUAAGCAUCGUAGAGCCAGGUCAGUACUUAGAUGGGGGACCGCUUGGGAACACCUGGUACUGUAAG
This is a non-coding RNA of Acanthosepion pharaonis, 114 nucleotides long. Lineage: Eukaryota; Metazoa; Mollusca; Cephalopoda; Sepiida; Sepiidae. The record is from the annotation of a GenBank genome assembly.